Molecule: non-coding RNA, 28 nt
Filed under: Rattus norvegicus (Norway rat)
Lineage: Eukaryota; Metazoa; Chordata; Mammalia; Rodentia; Muridae
Source: RNAcentral
UGUCUUUGAGCUCAAGGACUCUUGGUGU